RNAcentral lists this ribosomal RNA (382 nucleotides) under uncultured marine Chaetocerotaceae. RNAcentral describes it as "SSU rRNA". It matches the Rfam family "Eukaryotic small subunit ribosomal RNA", at positions 587 to 972 of the family's 1831-position model. Lineage: Eukaryota; Bacillariophyta; Thalassiosirophyceae; Chaetocerotales; Chaetocerotaceae. The record is from RNAcentral.
AGCUUCAGUAGCGUAUAUUAAAGUUGUUGCAGUUAAAAAGCUCGUAGUCGCAUUUCUGGCGAGAGGAUCCGGUCCGACCUUUUGGUGGGUUCUUGGGUCUCUUUCGCCAUCCUUGAGUGGUCCGUUCUGGCAUUAGGUUGUCGGAGCGUCAGCCGCUCAUCGUUUACUGUGAGAAAAUUAGAGUGUUCAAAGCAGGCUUAUGCCGUUGAAUAUAUUAGCAUGGAAUAAUAAGAUAGGACCGCGGUACUAUUUUGUUGGUUUGCACACCAAGGUAAUGAUGAACAGGGACAGUUGGGGGUAUUUGUAUUUCGUUGUCAGAGGUGAAAUUCUUAGAUUUACGAAAGACAAACUACUGCGAAAGCAUUUGCCAAGGAUGUUUUCA